This 440-nucleotide ribosomal RNA is filed under the name uncultured bacterium. RNAcentral's name for it is "partial 16S ribosomal RNA". It matches the Rfam family "Bacterial small subunit ribosomal RNA", at positions 338 to 795 of the family's 1533-position model. The record is from RNAcentral.
CCUACGGGAGGCAGCAGUAGGGAAUAUUGCUCAAUGGGGGAAACCCUGAAGCAGCAACGCCGCGUGGGCGAUGAAGGUUUUCGGAUUGUAAACUCCUUUUGUUAGGGAAGAUAAUGACGGUAUCUAACGAAUAAGCACCGGCUAACUCCGUGCCAGCAGCCGCGGUAAUACGGAGGGUGCAAGCGUUACUCGGAAUCACUGGGCGUAAAGAGCGCGUAGGCGGGUUAGCAAGUCAGAUGUGAAAUCCUAUGGCUUAACCAUAGAACUGCAUUUGAAACUGUGAUUCUAGAGUAUGGGAGAGGUAGGUGGAAUUCUUGGUGUAGGGGUAAAAUGCGUAGAGAUCAAGAGGAACACUCAUUGCGAAGGCGACCUGCUAGAACAUAACUGACGCUGAUGCGCGAAAGCGUGGGGAGCAAACAGGAUUAGAUACCCGGGUAGUC